Molecule: non-coding RNA, 21 nt
Organism: Caenorhabditis elegans
Lineage: Eukaryota; Metazoa; Nematoda; Chromadorea; Rhabditida; Rhabditidae
Source: Ensembl
UCUCCGAAUGACAAAUUUUUC